GAGGAGGCUGAGCCUCGAAGGAGGUGGACACAACGUAGUGUGCGAACAAGGACACUGGAUCCUGAAGGGGGUGGACACGAGGCGGUGUGCCAGUAAGAACACUAGACCCCAAAGUGGGGUGGAUUUGAGGGUGGUCCCACAUCGAUUGGAGGAAGGAAAGAGUGCCAACAAGGACGCUGGGUCUCGA
Molecule: long non-coding RNA, 187 nt
Organism: Cucurbita moschata (crookneck pumpkin)
Lineage: Eukaryota; Viridiplantae; Streptophyta; Magnoliopsida; Cucurbitales; Cucurbitaceae
Exons: 3
Source: RefSeq, a predicted model, not a curated record